GGUUGUCGGAUGGUUUAUUAUUUUUAUGUGAAAGGGGCUUUAGGUACUCUUAAACCAGGAAUAUAAGGAAAUAUGAAAAAUUAUAUUCUCUAUUCCAAACCUCUGAUUUUAGAUAUCAUUUUUAUGCUCUUAUCUGAUUACAAAGGCAGUAGAGAUUCGUGUUAACAGAUUUGGAAGCUACUGAGGAGCACAAAGAAGAAGAAAAGGAAAUCGCUUGUAAUGAACUCUGCAGAGGCUAGUGAUGUUCACGUUCUACUUUCCUCAAGUUCUUUCUAUAAUUAUGUAUACUCACUUAAAAAAAGCAAGGCUCCUUCCUUCCCUCCUCCUCUCGUUAAUUCAUCUACUGGACAGACAUUGAUUGAAAGCUAGGUACUCUCCUCUCAUUGAAUCCUGCUUCUUUUUUUACUUACCAAUACGUAAUAAAGCUUUCUUAUAUCAUUAAGUAUUCACUGACAUCAUUAAAAAAUUGAAUAACAAUAAGACCAA
This is a long non-coding RNA of Galeopterus variegatus (Sunda flying lemur), 486 nucleotides long. RefSeq lists it as uncharacterized. Lineage: Eukaryota; Metazoa; Chordata; Mammalia; Dermoptera; Cynocephalidae. The record is from RefSeq and is a predicted model, not a curated record. The transcript has 2 exons.